RNAcentral lists this ribosomal RNA (253 nucleotides) under Coprococcus eutactus. RNAcentral's name for it is "partial 16S ribosomal RNA". It matches the Rfam family "Bacterial small subunit ribosomal RNA", at positions 524 to 776 of the family's 1533-position model. Lineage: Bacteria; Bacillati; Bacillota; Clostridia; Lachnospirales; Lachnospiraceae. The record is from RNAcentral.
UACGUAUGGUGCAAGCGUUAUCCGGAUUUACUGGGUGUAAAGGGUGCGUAGGUGGCAAGGCAAGUCUGAAGUGAAAAUCCGGGGCUCAACCCCGGAACUGCUUUGGAAACUGUUUAGCUGGAGUACAGGAGAGGUAAGUGGAAUUCCUAGUGUAGCGGUGAAAUGCGUAGAUAUUAGGAGGAACACCAGUGGCGAAGGCGACUUACUGGACUGCUACUGACACUGAGGCAUGAAAGCGUGGGGAGCAAACAGG